RNAcentral lists this ribosomal RNA (496 nucleotides) under uncultured bacterium. RNAcentral describes it as "partial 16S ribosomal RNA". It matches the Rfam family "Bacterial small subunit ribosomal RNA", at positions 28 to 507 of the family's 1533-position model. The record is from RNAcentral.
GAUGAACGCUGGCGGCGUGCCUAAUACAUGCAAGUAGAACGCUGAAGGAAGGAGCUUGCUCUUUCCGGAUGAGUUGCGAACGGGUGAGUAACGCGUAGGUAACCUGCCUGGUAGCGGGGGAUAACUAUUGGAAACGAUAGCUAAUACCGCAAAACAGUAGAUGUUGCAUGACAACUAUUUGAAAGGGGCAAUUGCUCUACUACCAGAUGGACCUGGGUUUUAUUAGCUAGUUGGGAAGGUAACGGCCCACCAAGGCGACGAUACAUAGCCGACCUGAGAGGUGGUCGGCCAAACGGGGAAUGAGGCACGGCCCCGGAUCAUACGGGAGGCAGCAGGAGGGAAUCUUUGGCAAUGGACCGAAGUCUGAACGAACAACGCCGGGUGAGGGAAUGAGGGUUUCGGAUCGUAAAGCUCUGUUGUAAAGGAAGAACGAGUGUGAGAGUGGAAAGUUCACACUGUGACGGUAUCUUACCAGAAAGGGACGGCUAACUACGUG